This 23-nucleotide non-coding RNA is filed under the name Rattus norvegicus (Norway rat). Lineage: Eukaryota; Metazoa; Chordata; Mammalia; Rodentia; Muridae. The record is from RNAcentral.
UUUGUUUGUCUAGAAGAGAGGGC